This 65-nucleotide transfer RNA is filed under the name Neotoma lepida (desert woodrat). It matches the Rfam family "tRNA". Rfam says of the family: Transfer RNA (tRNA) molecules are approximately 80 nucleotides in length. Their secondary structure includes four short double-helical elements and three loops (D, anti-codon, and T loops). Further hydrogen bonds mediate the characteristic L-shaped molecular structure. tRNAs have two regions of fundamental functional importance: the anti-codon, which is responsible for specific mRNA codon recognition, and the 3' end, to which the tRNAs corresponding amino acid is attached (by aminoacyl-tRNA synthetases). tRNAs cope with the degeneracy of the genetic code in two manners: having more than one tRNA (with a specific anti-codon) for a particular amino acid; and 'wobble' base-pairing, i.e. permitting non-standard base-pairing at the 3rd anti-codon position. Lineage: Eukaryota; Metazoa; Chordata; Mammalia; Rodentia; Cricetidae. The record is from Rfam by way of RNAcentral.
GGUGGCUCAGUGGUUAAGAGCACUGGCUGUUCUUCCAGAGGUCCUGAGUUCAAUUCCCAGCACCA